CGAUUCACCUCGGGUUGGCCAUUUUCGACCGUUUUUGCCCGAAUUCGACCACGCUUGCAUCGAUCCCUGCGAUAGAACAAUCCUAGGGCCCUCAGUGGGCUGAAAAAUUACGAAAAAUCGAAACUUACCGGCGGCGGUGCUCUCGGGUGCGGCGGCUCCUCUGGCGUGAGUCGCGUUUUGAUGUUUGGCUCCGAUCAACCUGUAGAGAAAAGAACGGUGAUCACAGUGGUAUAAAAUUUGCAUCAAACAGAGGCCGGGAAGGGCCUCAUCGGAGG
RNAcentral lists this long non-coding RNA (275 nucleotides) under Carica papaya (papaya). Its description in RNAcentral is "long non-coding RNA (CPAP_LNC002709)". Lineage: Eukaryota; Viridiplantae; Streptophyta; Magnoliopsida; Brassicales; Caricaceae. The record is from RNAcentral.